AGAUUACAUACAUUAAUUUAGAUAAAGAUUCUCAGUGUAAUAUAGAUCAGAAUAUUAGCCAACCCAGUAGCUCAUCUACUAAUACAAUUCAACAAAUACAACCACAACAUAUACAGCCCCAAAUAUUACAACCAAUUACUAGAGAUAACUUUUACCCUCCAAUUUCAAAUAUAUUAACAAAUGUGGCCCAAAUACAAAGUUUUGCAUUUAACCACACUAAUAAUCAAACUACUUUUACAAGUAGAUUACAAAUAUUUUUUUAAAAUUAUAUUUUAAUAUAAUUAGACCUGGAAG
Molecule: long non-coding RNA, 294 nt
Organism: Gordionus sp. m RMFG-2023
Lineage: Eukaryota; Metazoa; Nematomorpha; Gordioida; Chordodea; Parachordodidae
Exons: 3
Source: RefSeq, a predicted model, not a curated record